GAUGUAUUUGAUGUAGAUUACACAUACAACUGUAUGCAAUAUUCUGUCCCGUUUUUAACCAUUGCUUCACUUCAUGGAAAUCAUACAUAUACUUUUUGUAUGAUGCCGACAGAUAACGUAGUUAUUUCCCCGCUCUUUUGUCAACCACUCUAUGUACCUAUGGUUGGAGAGAAAACUCAUAAUGCGACGGAUUCCAUUCAAAACACUAGCAAUAAUAAGCAGUUUUCGGUCGCCAUGCUGGUCUUAAUUCUUUUUGUUUCCACAAUUUUUGGAGCAAUAAUUGCAUAUCUUGGUAUCAAAGCCUACCCGGAUCUUUUAGAGGGCUCAAAGAACGUAUUAAUAAUUAAAAAGUUGGAUAAAACAUGCUAUAUAUCAACAAUAACAGAAUCCGAAUACACAAUAGAUGAAAAAAAAAGAAAAUACUUUGGUGCAAAAAUUUUCAAUGAUAAUCAGCAUCCUUUUUCAGAAGAAACAGUUGUGGAUACUAGAAGUGUUCUAGGCAAGGUUUAUAAAGUAGACGAGUAUGAAAUGCCUAAAGAACUGGAUUAUUCAAUAAAAGAGUAUAGUGAACUCAGUUAUGGAAGUACCCUCACCAUUCCCCCACCAUUACCAAAGCGUAAUUCUAAUAAUUUAAUAUUCAAUUAAAACAAGAAAUAAUAAAAGUUCACAAUGGAUUAUUGGAUGGGUAUAUUGGAAAUUGCGUCAUAGAUAUUCAUUAACAAAUUUAUAGAUGUUAAAUUUAACAUGAAAUUUGCCAUCCCCAACAGUUAUUAACAUUUAAAAUGUCAUGUACCAGCAAAAACGACAACGAUCAAAUGCUCCUAAAUGUUCAGGACAUAGUCUUGAGGUGAAUAGAUCAUUAAUCGUUGUGCUGUGCCAACUAUUCAACAAGCAAGGUAGUCGAUUGUAAAUAGCAAAAAAGGUGAGGCAUUUCAACUUCAGCGUCACGUGAAUCAGUCCUUUUUGUAUUGUUGUCUGUCUUGUUGACCCCACCAGGCGUUUAAUUUAAAACUAUCGAUUAUUUGUGGCGAAACAUCGAUGUUUAGUUGUAUGUCUUGUCCCGUCUCUAUGAAAGAAAAAACUAAAGAGAGAAGGAGAAGCACGAGAGGUGGGUCGGCUUGGAUGUGUUGGCAAAAGUACAAUUAAGCGAUGGCAAAAUUUAAACAAGCACAGGGCGUUGAGAAGCCGUUGGCAUUGAUUCAGGAAGUGCAAACUCGUUGGAACAGUGCGUUAAAUAAAUAAUUCAAUUUUUAGAGGAAUACAGACGGAAUUAUGCCUUUUAAAGCUGCUGCCCAAAAAUAUCUGUGCGUCACGGCCACGGCCAGCGAGUCUGAGCGAAUGUUCAGCAAGGCCGGUCAAAUUAUUUCUGAUCGUCGUAUUCGCCUAAAGCCGAAAGUAGUAGAUCAGUUAAUGUUUCUAAACAAAAAUCAGGACUUGUUUUAAGAUAUAAUCUAGGGAAUUUACUUUUUUUAUGUUGCUGGACUAAAGCUAUGAGCUAUUGAAAGUGAAAUUAUCUCCAA
Drosophila miranda is the source of this 1520-nucleotide long non-coding RNA. RefSeq lists it as uncharacterized. Lineage: Eukaryota; Metazoa; Arthropoda; Insecta; Diptera; Drosophilidae. The transcript has 3 exons. The record is from RefSeq and is a predicted model, not a curated record.